UAAUAACAAAUCAAAUUUAAGGGAGGCAUGUGAGAUUUUUGAAAAUGUAUAAGAGGGGGACAAUUAAAAGGUUGGGAACCACAGACCUAAUGGUUAAUAUGAUGAAAAGCAAUGACAUAUACAAGGGGGGCACCAAAGUAAUCAUCCCCUCGGUCUACAUUUUUUAAAUAAUUCUUUUAUUCUACAAUUUUUAAUAUAAUAAAGAUAUAUAUUUUUAAUAAAAUUUGCCCCCUUGAAAAACCUCAUGGAACAGUACAUAGGUAUUUUACAUUUUCAUUCAAAUUUGAACUUAACACGCUUAGAGUGAACUGAUAUAAAUUUUGAUCAAUGUUUCAAACAAAGUACCACUGCAAAAUAUUCCGCAUAUAUUGUGUCAUCAUUAGUGUCAUGAAAAACAAAAAACAUAGUUAAACCUUUGAAUAGGCUUCAUCAGUACACUUAGAAAGUAAAAAAAUAUAUAUCCUAUUUCUAAUGCAACUACAUUCACAAAAAAAUUAAUAUUAUUAAAAUUAAGAAAUUACUUAAUUAUUUAAUUAAUUAUAUUCAUAUAGAAUAAUUAAAGUAACAAUACAAAAAAGUAAAAUUUUUUUUUAGAAACGUUCAAAUGUACAAAUUAUUUCAAUAUGCAAUAAUCAUUAAUGUCGUUGUUCAAUUUACAUUUUUAAUCUAUAUUAAAUUAAAAUAACAGUUGCUUAUUACUAAAUUAUAGAUAUGCAUUGAAAUAAUAAGAAAUACUUACAAAAUACUUUUAAAAUUAUUUUAAUUUUAACCAGCUAAAAAAAAUGUAAAUAUUAUAUCUGGAAUACAUUAACGUAAACCUCAGUUUUCAUAAUUAUU
Non-coding RNA from Cinara cedri, 837 nucleotides. NCBI's taxonomy places the organism in Eukaryota, Metazoa, Arthropoda, Insecta, Hemiptera, Aphididae. The record is from the annotation of a GenBank genome assembly.